AAUCUAUCGAAAGAUAUAUAAGCUCACCAAAUCUUUUCCAUGUCAGUUCUAUUUUUAUUUGUUUAUUUAUUGGUUAUUUUAUUUAUUUAUAAAGUUAAGAAGCAUGAUCAGCUAUUUUUAAGCUUUAUGUAUCAUAAUUAUGCUGCUAGUUUCAUUCCCCCUUGGACCAUACAGGGUACAGAUACUGAGUCCUUUCAUUUACUCAGGCAGGAUGUGGUAAUUGUGUUUUUCUACUGAUAAAUCAUGCUAUUUUCGUAAAAUCCAGAAAUGACAUGUAGUUGUUUGAAUUAGUUGGUCACUUGUAUUAUUUUAUAUCAUGUAUCAAGUUUGAGUAAUGUAAUGAAACCUCUCAAAGCUUUAUACACUUGACAAUUUAGGAUUCUAGCUACUGAUAGAGGCUACCACUUCCCUUGUCGGUGCAGUCAAAGCGUCUUCCCUACAAAGAUACAAAGUCAGCUUCUUUACGGAUUCUGGGUUUUCACACACCUCUUGGA
Molecule: long non-coding RNA, 494 nt
Filed under: Carica papaya (papaya)
Lineage: Eukaryota; Viridiplantae; Streptophyta; Magnoliopsida; Brassicales; Caricaceae
Description: long non-coding RNA (CPAP_LNC013287)
Source: RNAcentral